UACGGAGGGGGCUAGCGUUGUUCGGAAUUACUGGGCGUAAAGCGUGCGCAGGCGGUUUUGUAAGCCAGAUGUGAAAUCCCCGGGCUUAACCUGGGAAUGGCAUUUGGGACUGCAAGGCUCGAGUGCGGCAGAGGAGACUGGAAUUCCUGGUGUAGCAGUGAAAUGCGUAGAUAUCAGGAGGAACACCGAUGGCGAAGGCAGGUCUCUGGGCUGACACUGACGCUCAUGCACGAAAGCGUGGGGAGCAAACAGG
This 253-nucleotide ribosomal RNA is filed under the name uncultured bacterium. RNAcentral describes it as "partial 16S ribosomal RNA". It matches the Rfam family "Bacterial small subunit ribosomal RNA", at positions 524 to 776 of the family's 1533-position model. The record is from RNAcentral.